GACGAACGCUGGCGGCGUGCCUAAUACAUGCAAGUAGAACGCACAGUUUAUACCGUAGCUUGCUCCACCAUAAACUGUGAGUUGCGAACGGGUGAGUAACGCGUAGGUAACCUGCCUGGUAGCGGGGGAUAACUAUUGGAAACGAUAGCUAAUACCGCAUAAUAUUGAUUAUUGCAUGAUAAUUGAUUGAAAGAUGCUAUUGCAUCACUACCAGAUGGACCUGCGUUGUAUUAGCUAGUAGGUGAGGUAACGGCUCACCUAGGCGACGAUACAUAGCCGACCUGCGAGGGUGAUCGGCCACACUGGGACUGAGACACGGCCCAGACUCCUACGGGAGGCAGCAGUAGGGAAUCUUCGGCAAUGGACGAAAGUCUGACCGAGCAACGCCGCGUGAGUGAAGAAGGGUGUCGGAUCGUAAAGCUCUGUUGUAAGAGAAGAACGGGUGUGAGAGUGGAAAGUUCACACUGUGACGGUAUCUUACCAGAAAGGGACGGCUAACUACGUG
RNAcentral lists this ribosomal RNA (505 nucleotides) under uncultured bacterium. RNAcentral's name for it is "partial 16S ribosomal RNA". It matches the Rfam family "Bacterial small subunit ribosomal RNA", at positions 28 to 507 of the family's 1533-position model. The record is from RNAcentral.